Molecule: ribosomal RNA, 504 nt
Filed under: uncultured bacterium
Lineage: Bacteria
Description: bacterial SSU rRNA
Rfam family: Bacterial small subunit ribosomal RNA
Source: RNAcentral
GGCUCAGGAUGAACGCUAGCGGCAGGCUUAACACAUGCAAGUCGAGGGGCAUCGGGAGUAGCAAUACUUGCCGGCGACCGGCGCAAGGGUGCGUGACGCGUGAGCAACAUGCCCGUAUCAGGGGGGAUAAUCCAUGGAAACGUGGUCUAAUACCCCAUAGUAAUUAUGUAAGGCAUCUUAUAUAAUUUAAAGCUUUGGUGGAUACGGAUUGGCUCGCGUGACAUUAGCUAGAUGGUAAGGUAACGGCUUACCAUGGCUACGAUGUCUAGGGGUUCUGAGAGGAAGGUCCCCCACACUGGAACUGAGACACGGUCCAGACUCCUACGGGAGGCAGCAGUGAGGAAUAUUGGACAAUGGAUGGAAAUCUGAUCCAGCCAUGCCGCGUGCAAGGAAGACGGCCCUAUGGGUUGUAAACUGCUUUUGUAUGGGAGCAAUAAGGGCUACGUGUAGUCCGAUGAGAGUACCAUACGAAUAAGCACCGGCUAACUCCGUGCCAGCCGCGGC